Molecule: long non-coding RNA, 1034 nt
Organism: Brassica rapa (field mustard)
Lineage: Eukaryota; Viridiplantae; Streptophyta; Magnoliopsida; Brassicales; Brassicaceae
Source: RefSeq, a predicted model, not a curated record
AUAAGAUAGAUAUUCAAUCAGAUUGUUGGUAGAUGACUGACUAGUGACAUGUGAUGGGGUAGAUCUCAUCUCUAGUGUGUUUAAAGUAGAUGCAAAGAAUAAGAUGGUAACUAGAGAGAACCUGACAGAUUUCUAUUUGUUUCAUUAACUCCUGGUUCUUGUUUUGAAGAUCAUCAACCAAGGCUGCUUUUGCAAGGGCACCUUCAAUGGUCCUCUCAGCAUCAAUAACAAGCAGUUCACGAGUGACUUGAUUAAUUUUCAAUAAGAAAGGAAGCAAUUGUAGAAAAUACCUCAGAUCGUGCAAGCUUAAGUUCAGCUUCUAAAGGAGCAAGGAUGGCUUCAAUUGGAGGGAUGUCAUCGUCCUUUUGUGCAGCAUGGACCCGUCUUAAAGUGGCUUCAGCAGCAAACUGAGCAGCCAUUGAGGCUUUCUUCUCCUCAUUGAUUUUCUUGAUUUCUAGAUUCUGCAGUACAAUUGAUAUCAUAUUUGUAUUAGAAUAAAAACAUAACCAGGCUAAGGAGGGAUUAUGAGCAAUACUUUGCUUUGGAGGAUUGAUUCUGUCAACUUGAGCUUCUCAUCCAACUUAGCUAGCUCCUCAGUAUGCUAAGUAGUAAAAAAAAAUAGAGGAAAAAGUCAAUCCAGUAAAAGCAUGACAAACUAACUCACUUUAGACAAAGAAAGAGAAUGUAUCCUGUCUGCAAAUUUAUUUGACAUUUUAAAACAUAAAAGUCGAGAACAGACACAUGAUGUCAUGAUUGAUUAAAAACUAGUAAGUAGUACCUAGUACCCCCACUUGGGAUAAAUACACCUGAACCAUGCCAUGAUAAAUGAAUUUUUCAACUAACAAACAAAACAUAUAGACUAUGUGGUGAAAGGAAAAAAUAAAAGUGACUACACUCAGAUGAGUAACUUAGCAACAACCAUUAUUGAUUAGCUGAACCAAAACAAAUUUGUAAAAGAUGGACUUCCCUUAAUAAUAUGUAAAAUUGAAAAAAAAAAAUUAGAAUUUCAGACGAAGACAAGACAAAGACAAAAA